GACUCUGCAGGGAGAGAGGACAUCAGAAGCUACACAUUUGGGACCUUCUCAGGCUUCACCCUAUGCACCUCUUUUUGCUGAUCCUGAUUUGUAUUAUUUGUGCUAUAAUAACACUGUAAUUAUAUGUAUAGGACUUUCCUGAAUUCUCUGUCACUGUCAGUCUAUUAAAUGAUUGAGCAUGAAGAGAGAGUAGGAACCCCUGAGUAUUUAGCUUGUUGGUCAGAAGUGCUGGUGGCCUUGGAACUCAUAAGCUUGUGGCUAGUUUCUGAGCUAACCCAGGCACAACAGGAAUACAACCUUUUACUACAGAUGUGGGAUUGUUCAUGUCAUCUACUAAUGCAAGAUGGAUCUGAGAACGCUGUCUGGGCUUGGUACCAAGAGCUGGUAUUUCACAGCAGCGACCGCCUCACAGACGAGCUGUGGGAAGCAGGAGGGAGACUCUCUCUUAGGGUGCCACUACUAUGGAGACACAGCUGGGCUGAACAAGAUUUGCUUCAAACGACAACAAGAGAGACAGAAAGUAUCUGGUUCAACCGCUGCCCGAGCAGGCAGGCACCAGAAGAGCUAGCAGCCAAUCCGGCCAUGCUCGAAGCCAGCUCUGCAGCUCAGCCAAUCAGUGACAUCAUUGCUUUCUUUAGCUUGCCCAUGGUGAUGUGAAGAUGAGAAGAAAUAGCAAGGCCCAACCAGUUCUUCAUCUGGAGACAGUUCAACGUUCUGCAAACCAGGACAGUACUACAGAAGGACUAAGUAUAUAGGAAACUUGACUUAUUUAAAUAAGGCAGUGAAAAAAAUAGAAUAUGGGGAGUAAAACAACCUCUGAAGCUAAGUCUGCAUAUAUAAUAACUGGAUCUUCAGGAAUUUUACUGGGAUAAUUAUCCAAAUAAAUUGCAAGCAUUCUAUCCAAAUG
Molecule: long non-coding RNA, 907 nt
Filed under: Homo sapiens (human)
Lineage: Eukaryota; Metazoa; Chordata; Mammalia; Primates; Hominidae
Description: mir-99a-let-7c cluster host gene
Source: RNAcentral